CGUUGUGUUUGCACGCUCUUCACCCUGCUCCUGCCCACUCUGCUUGUCACCUGCCCCCGAUAACCCCAUCAGUCUUGAAAGAUCCUUAGUGCCUGGAUUUUGUCAUCCAGCCCUGCAGGAUGCUCCCCUUUGUCCUGAGGAAGAUAUGGUGCCAUUCCAUGGAGGUGGACACCCCCCACCUGCCCGGGUGGGCUGGAGCUCUGUGGGGAUGGAGUGGGACAGGAACCCCACUCUGAGGUUUUGCUACCUCUGCAGGCUGUCCCAGACAGAGAGGAGGUGAUGGAGGUGGAUACAGAGAUUGAUAGAGAGGAGGACAUGGAGAUGGAUGGAGAAGACACCGGCGAGGAGGAGAUGGAGGUGGAGGUGGUUGUGGAAGAGGAGAUGGAAUUGGAUGAGGAAGAGUCCAUUGAUGACAUGGAUAUUGAUUAAUAAGGUGCGAUGGACAGCACAGACAGAGACACCAUCUUUGUGUAUAUAUGUUCUAUAAUUUGUUGUUGUUCUUUAGAAUGUAGAUUGUAGGGCUAUUUUUGACGUCUGUAAAUACGUUUCCCAUAGUUUUGUUAGGUAGGUUUUUAUGUAUAUAUGUUCUAUCGAUUGUUGUUGUUACAAAUAUUCUUACAAUGUAAAUGUAUUCUGCAUUUUUGCUGCUGUUUUUCUGUAAUAAACAAAUUUUAUUUUUCA
This is a long non-coding RNA of Passer domesticus (house sparrow), 681 nucleotides long. RefSeq lists it as uncharacterized. The transcript is spliced from 2 exons. The record is from RefSeq and is a predicted model, not a curated record. Lineage: Eukaryota; Metazoa; Chordata; Aves; Passeriformes; Passeridae.